Molecule: ribosomal RNA, 433 nt
Filed under: uncultured bacterium
Lineage: Bacteria
Description: partial 16S ribosomal RNA
Rfam family: Bacterial small subunit ribosomal RNA
Source: RNAcentral
AACGAGCGCUGGCGGCAUGCCUAAUACAUGCAAGUCGAACGAGACCUUCGGGUCUAGUGUCUCACGGGUUCGUAACGCGUGGGAACCUGCCCUUAGGUUCGGAAUAACUCCCCGAAAGGGGUGCUAAUACCGGAUAAUGUCUUCGGACCAAAGAUUUAUCGCCUUUGGAUGGGCCCGCGUUGUAUUAGCUAGUUGGUAGGGUAAAAGCCUACCAAGGCGACUAUCCAUAGCUGGUUUGAGUGGAUGAUCAGCCACACUGGGACUGAGACACGGCCCAGACUCCUACGGGAGGCAGCAGUGGGGAAUAUUGGACAAUGGGCGAAAGCCUGAUCCAGCAAUGCCGCGUGAGUGAUGAAGGCCUGAGGGUUGUAAAGCUCUUUUACCCGAGAUGAUAAUGACAGUACCGGGAGAAUAAGCUCCGGCUAACUCCGUG